RNAcentral lists this ribosomal RNA (1369 nucleotides) under uncultured bacterium. RNAcentral's name for it is "bacterial SSU rRNA". It matches the Rfam family "Bacterial small subunit ribosomal RNA", at positions 28 to 1381 of the family's 1533-position model. The record is from RNAcentral.
GACGAACGCUGGCGGCGUGCCUAAUACAUGCAAGUAGAACGCUGAAGAGAGGAGCUUGCUCUUCUUGGAUGAGUUGCGAACGGGUGAGUAACGCGUAGGUAACCUGCCUUGUAGCGGGGGAUAACUAUUGGAAACGAUAGCUAAUACCGCAUAACAAUGGAUGACACAUGUCAUUUAUUUGAAAGGGGCAAUUGCUCCACUACAAGAUGGACCUGCGUUGUAUUAGCUAGUAGGUGAGGUAAUGGCUCACCUAGGCGACGAUACAUAGCCGACCUGAGAGGGUGAUCGGCCACACUGGGACUGAGACACGGCCCAGACUCCUACGGGAGGCAGCAGUAGGGAAUCUUCGGCAAUGGGGGCAACCCUGACCGAGCAACGCCGCGUGAGUGAAGAAGGUUUUCGGAUCGUAAAGCUCUGUUGUAAGUCAAGAACGGGUGUGAGAGUGGAAAGUUCACACUGUGACGGUAGCUUACCAGAAAGGGACGGCUAACUACGUGCCAGCAGCCGCGGUAAUACGUAGGUCCCGAGCGUUGUCCGGAUUUAUUGGGCGUAAAGCGAGCGCAGGCGGUUUGAUAAGUCUGAAGUUAAAGGCUGUGGCUCAACCAUAGUUCGCUUUGGAAACUGUCAAACUUGAGUGCAGAAGGGGAGAGUGGAAUUCCAUGUGUAGCGGUGAAAUGCGUAGAUAUAUGGAGGAACACCGGUGGCGAAAGCGGCUCUCUGGUCUGUAACUGACGCUGAGGCUCGAAAGCGUGGGGAGCGAACAGGAUUAGAUACCCUGGUAGUCCACGCCGUAAACGAUGAGUGCUAGGUGUUGGAUCCUUUCCGGGAUUCAGUGCCGCAGCUAACGCAUUAAGCACUCCGCCUGGGGAGUACGACCGCAAGGUUGAAACUCAAAGGAAUUGACGGGGGCCCGCACAAGCGGUGGAGCAUGUGGUUUAAUUCGAAGCAACGCGAAGAACCUUACCAGGUCUUGACAUCCCGAUGCUAUUUCUAGAGAUAGAAAGUUACUUCGGUACAUCGGUGACAGGUGGUGCAUGGUUGUCGUCAGCUCGUGUCGUGAGAUGUUGGGUUAAGUCCCGCAACGAGCGCAACCCCUAUUGUUAGUUGCCAUCAUUCAGUUGGGCACUCUAGCGAGACUGCCGGUAAUAAACCGGAGGAAGGUGGGGAUGACGUCAAAUCAUCAUGCCCCUUGUGACCUGGGCUACACACGUGCUACAAUGGUUGGUACAACGAGUUGCGAGUCGGUGACGGCGAGCUAAUCUCUUAAAGCCAAUCUCAGUUCGGAUUGUAGGCUGCAACUCGCCUACAUGAAGUCGGAAUCGCUAGUAAUCGCGGAUCAGCACGCCGCGGUGAAUACGUUCCCGGGCCU